RNAcentral lists this unclassified non-coding RNA (278 nucleotides) under uncultured Anabaena sp. RNAcentral's name for it is "partial 16S-23S ribosomal RNA intergenic spacer". The record is from RNAcentral. Lineage: Bacteria; Bacillati; Cyanobacteriota; Cyanophyceae; Nostocales; Nostocaceae.
UAGGGAGACCUAAUCCAUUUAGAAAUCGAAAACAAUGAAAAUUGUCAAUAGAAACUAAAUUGGUCUAACCUAGGUCGUUCGAGAUUGGUAGACAUCUUUCAAAGUAUUGUUCGGCUUCGUUCAAAACCAUAUAUAAUAAAUGGAAAAAGACAGCACCUAAUUGUCAAAGUUAGACUGCUGGAUGAAAUUCCAGCCAGAACCUUGAAAACUGCAUAAGAGAGCGAGAAAAAGCAGGCAGACACAGACAUUUAGAUGGAUGUGAAAGCAAAAGAAAUUGU